AAGUGACGAUAGCCUAGGAGAUACACCUGUACCCAUGCCGAACACAGUAGUUAAGCCCUAGAACGCCUGAAGUAGUUGGGGGUUGCCCCCUGUUAGAUACGGUAGUCGCUUAGC
This 114-nucleotide ribosomal RNA is filed under the name Streptococcus dysgalactiae subsp. equisimilis. Lineage: Bacteria; Bacillati; Bacillota; Bacilli; Lactobacillales; Streptococcaceae. The record is from RNAcentral.